GACGAACGCUGGCGGCGUGCCUAAUACAUGCGAGUCGAACGCUGAAGGAGGAGCUUGCUCUUCUGGAUGAGUUGCGAACGGGUGAGUAACGCGUAGGUAACCUGCCUGGUAGCGGGGGAUAACUAUUGGAAACGAUAGCUAAUACCGCAUAACAGUAGAUGUUGCAUGACAUUUGCUUAAAAGGUGCAAUUGCACCACUACCAGAUGGACCUGCGUUGUAUUAGCUAGUUGGUGGGGUAACGGCUCACCAAGGCGACGAUACAUAGCCGACCUGAGAGGGUGAUCGGCCACACUGGGACUGAGACACGGCCCAGACUCCUACGGGAGGCAGCAGUAGGGAAUCUUCGGCAAUGGACGGAAGUCUGACCGAGCAACGCCGCGUGAGUGAAGAAGGUUUUCGGAUCGUAAAGCUCUGUUGUAAGAGAAGAACGAGUGUGAGAGUGGAAAGUUCACACUGUGACGGUAUCUUACCAGAAAGGGACGGCUAACUACGUG
RNAcentral lists this ribosomal RNA (495 nucleotides) under uncultured bacterium. RNAcentral describes it as "partial 16S ribosomal RNA". It matches the Rfam family "Bacterial small subunit ribosomal RNA", at positions 28 to 507 of the family's 1533-position model. The record is from RNAcentral.